This 300-nucleotide unclassified non-coding RNA is filed under the name plant metagenome. RNAcentral describes it as "partial contains 5.8S ribosomal RNA, internal transcribed spacer 2, and large subunit ribosomal RNA". The stretch from base 1 to 105 matches the Rfam family "5.8S ribosomal RNA", at positions 50 to 154 of the family's 154-position model. The record is from RNAcentral.
GAAAUGCGAUAAGUAGUGUGAAUUGCAGAAUUCAGUGAAUCAUCGAAUCUUUGAACGCACAUUGCGCCCCUUGGUAUUCCAUGGGGCAUGCCUGUUCGAGCGUCAUUUGUACCCUCAAGCUUUGCUUGGUGUUGGGCGUCUUGUCGGAAUAUCCGACUCGCCUUAAAUACAUUGGCAGCCGGCACUUUGGCCUAGGAGCGCAGCACAUUUUGCGAUCGUAAGCCGUUGUGACAGCAUCCAUAAGAUUUAUUUUACCACGUUUGACCUCGGAUCGGGUAGGGAUACCCGCUGAACUUAAGC